This 514-nucleotide ribosomal RNA is filed under the name uncultured bacterium. Its description in RNAcentral is "bacterial SSU rRNA". It matches the Rfam family "Bacterial small subunit ribosomal RNA", at positions 28 to 564 of the family's 1533-position model. The record is from RNAcentral.
GAUAAACGCUGGCGGCGUGCCUUAUGCAUGCAAGUCGUACGAGACCAAGGCUUCGGCCUGAAGUCUAGUGGCGGACGGGUGAGUAACACGUACGUGACCUGUCCGGAAGUGGGGAAUAACCAGCCGAAAGGUUGGCUAAUACCGCAUACGGUUACUGCUUGGAAGCAGCAAACCAAAGUCGCAGGACGCUUCCGGAGGGGCGUGCGGCCGAUUAGCUGGUUGGUGUGGUAAUGGCGCACCAAGGCGGUGAUCGGUAGCUGGUCUGAGAGGACGGUCAGCCACACUGGGACUGAGACACGGCCCAGACUCCUACGGGAGGCAGCAGCAGGGAAUUUGCGCAAUGGGCGAAAGCCUGACGCAGCAACGCCGCGUGGGGGAUGAAGGCACUUGGGUCGUAAACCCCUUUUGCCGGGGAAGAUAAUGACGGUACCCGGCGAAUAAGCCACGGCUAACUACGUGCCAGCAGCCGCGGUAAUACGUAGGUGGCAAGCGUUGUCCGGAUUAUUGGCGUACG